RNAcentral lists this ribosomal RNA (240 nucleotides) under Entrophospora sp. RNAcentral describes it as "partial small subunit ribosomal RNA". The stretch from base 50 to 240 matches the Rfam family "Eukaryotic small subunit ribosomal RNA", at positions 693 to 886 of the family's 1831-position model. Lineage: Eukaryota; Fungi; Glomeromycota; Glomeromycetes; Entrophosporales; Entrophosporaceae. The record is from RNAcentral.
GGAUUGGGAUAUAUCGAUCAUGGCUUUAGGGACAUGAAUCGGUGUAUGGUCAAUUCUCACCUUCUGGUGAAUUGGGAUGCUCUCGGGUGUUUCGAUGAACCAGGACUUUUACUUUGAAAAAAUUAGAGUGUUUAAAGCGGGCAUUUUUGCUUGAAUAUAUUAGCAUGGAAUAAUAAAAUAGGACGAUGGUUCUAUUUUGUUGGUUUUAGGACCACGUAAAGAUUAAUAGGGAUAGUUGGG